UACGGAGGGUGCAAGCGUUGUUCGGAAUGACUGGGCGUAAAGGGCGCGUAGGUGGACGCUUAAGUUAGAUGUGAAAUCCCAGGGCUUAACCCUGGAACUGCAUCUAAUACUGGGCGUCUUGAAUGAUCGAGAGGUUGGUGGAAUUCCAGGUGUAGGAGUGAAAUCCGUAGAUAUCUGGAGGAACAUCGGAGGCGAAGGCGGCCGACUGGCGAAUCAUUGACACUGAGGCGCGAAAGCGUGGGGAGCAAACAGG
Molecule: ribosomal RNA, 253 nt
Filed under: uncultured bacterium
Lineage: Bacteria
Description: partial 16S ribosomal RNA
Rfam family: Bacterial small subunit ribosomal RNA
Source: RNAcentral